GGCAAGGUGGCCGAGCGGUUAAGGCGUGUGACUCAAGAGAAUUAGGCCUGGCCUAGUAAUCUUACCCUGUAAGGGGUUUCUCAUCACGGUAUCGUGGCGUGGGUUCAAGUCCCACCCUUGUCA
This is a transfer RNA of 123 nucleotides. It matches the Rfam family "tRNA". Rfam says of the family: Transfer RNA (tRNA) molecules are approximately 80 nucleotides in length.